Molecule: unclassified non-coding RNA, 305 nt
Filed under: Hevea brasiliensis (rubber tree)
Lineage: Eukaryota; Viridiplantae; Streptophyta; Magnoliopsida; Malpighiales; Euphorbiaceae
Source: RNAcentral
CUUCAAAUGCCAAAUGUGCGCAGUAAUAGCCAAAUUCUUGACAUGAAUUCGCUAAGCUCUCGGAAGAAAAAAAUUCACUAAGCUCAUGCCGGCUGGUCGUGGUGGCCCAUCCUUUCAUCCUUUUUACCUAAGCUUACUUCCUAAACGCCAAAGAAGCAUAAGCUAUGGCAGAGCAAAACCCAACAGAGGAAUCAGCCAGGACCUGCCUUCUUACUCGUUUGCUCAGAAAACCAACAGAAAGGGACACUUCAAGAGGAUUAUACGCAUCACCCUCAUCACAAGUGAAUUAGUGGGUAUAUUCGAUG